GCCAGACUCCUACGGGAGGCAGCAGUGAGGAAUAUUGGUCAAUGGGCGCGAGCCUGAACCAGCCAAGUCGCGUGAGGGAUGAAGGAUCUAUGGUUCGUAAACCUCUUUUAUAAGGGAAUAAAGUGCGGGACGCGUCCCGCUUCGCAUGUACCUUAUGAAUAAGGAUCGGCUAACUCCGUGCCAGCAGCCGCGGUAAUACGGAGGAUCCGAGCGUUAUCCGGAUUUAUUGGGUUUAAAGGGUGCGUAGGCGGGAUGCCAAGUCAGCGGUCAAAUACGGGGGCUCAACCUGCGUCCGCCGUUGAAACUGGCGUUCUUGAGUGGGCGAGAAGUACGCGGAAUGCGUGGUGUAGCGGUGAAAUGCAUAGAUAUCACGCAGAACCCCGAUUGCGAAGGCAGCGUACCGGCGCCCGACUGACGCUGAAGCACGAAAGCGUGGGUAUCGAACAGGAUUAGAUACCCCGGUAA
RNAcentral lists this ribosomal RNA (465 nucleotides) under uncultured bacterium. RNAcentral describes it as "bacterial SSU rRNA". It matches the Rfam family "Bacterial small subunit ribosomal RNA", at positions 330 to 793 of the family's 1533-position model. The record is from RNAcentral.